GCCGUGGGAAACGCUUUUGGAACAAGUUGGAUUGCUCCGAAUUUCAGUGCCUAUCGGGCAGCCAGUGAACAUUUGUCCAUCUUUAAGGCAUUAAACUGAGAAGAACCACUGAGGAAAGCAUGCCACAGUCUUUCCCAAAAUCCCUGUGUCUUAAGGAACAACCAAGAAGUUAACUGGUCAGGGAAAAGAUUUCUUUUGGAACACAGAGAAUGAUGGGAGUUGUGAUCCAUACCUCCGUGUGCAUAAUGGUUGUACCUGCUCCAGGAAGGCGCUGGAUCCUCCCAACUCCAUGGGAAGAGAUUAGGACACAAACAACAGACAGAAGGUGACCACAGGAGGACACAGUGAGAAGCUGGCCAUCUGCAAGCCAAGGAGAGAGACCUCAGGAGAAACCAAACCUGCCAGCACCUUAAUCUUAGACUUCUAGCCCUCAGAACGGUGAGGAAAUAAAUCUCUGUUGUUCAUGCCA
This 469-nucleotide long non-coding RNA is filed under the name Homo sapiens (human). RNAcentral describes it as "HSALNT0360218". Lineage: Eukaryota; Metazoa; Chordata; Mammalia; Primates; Hominidae. The record is from RNAcentral.